This 433-nucleotide ribosomal RNA is filed under the name uncultured bacterium. RNAcentral's name for it is "partial 16S ribosomal RNA". It matches the Rfam family "Bacterial small subunit ribosomal RNA", at positions 29 to 507 of the family's 1533-position model. The record is from RNAcentral.
AACGAACGCUGGCGGCAGGCCUAACACAUGCAAGUCGAGCGAGGACUUCGGUCCUAGCGGCGGACGGGUGAGUAACGCGUGGGAACGUGCCCUUUGCUUCGGAAUAGCCCUGGGAAACUGGGAGUAAUACCGGAUGAGCCCUUUGGGGGAAAGAUUUAUCGGCGAAGGAUCGGCCCGCGUUGGAUUAGGUAGUUGGUGGGGUAAUGGCCUACCAAGCCGACGAUCCAUAGCUGGUUUGAGAGGAUGAUCAGCCACACUGGGACUGAGACACGGCCCAGACUCCUACGGGAGGCAGCAGUGGGGAAUCUUAGACAAUGGGGGAAACCCUGAUCAAGCCAUGCCGCGUGAGCGAUGAAGGCCUUAGGGUUGUAAAGCUCUUUCAGCUGGGAAGAUAAUGACGGUACCAGCAGAAGAAGCCCCGGCUAACUACGUG